RNAcentral lists this ribosomal RNA (996 nucleotides) under Acinetobacter calcoaceticus. Its description in RNAcentral is "bacterial SSU rRNA". It matches the Rfam family "Bacterial small subunit ribosomal RNA", at positions 56 to 1047 of the family's 1533-position model. Lineage: Bacteria; Pseudomonadati; Pseudomonadota; Gammaproteobacteria; Moraxellales; Moraxellaceae. The record is from RNAcentral.
UGCAGUCGAGCGGAGUGAUGGUGCUUGCACUAUCACUUAGCGGCGGACGGGUGAGUAAUGCUUAGGAAUCUGCCUAUUAGUGGGGGACAACAUUUCGAAAGGAAUGCUAAUACCGCAUACGUCCUACGGGAGAAAGCAGGGGAUCUUCGGACCUUGCGCUAAUAGAUGAGCCUAAGUCGGAUUAGCUAGUUGGUGGGGUAAAGGCCUACCAAGGCGACGAUCUGUAGCGGGUCUGAGAGGAUGAUCCGCCACACUGGGACUGAGACACGGCCCAGACUCCUACGGGAGGCAGCAGUGGGGAAUAUUGGACAAUGGGCGCAAGCCUGAUCCAGCCAUGCCGCGUGUGUGAAGAAGGCCUUAUGGUUGUAAAGCACUUUAAGCGAGGAGGAGGCUACUGAAGUUAAUACCUUCAGAUAGUGGACGUUACUCGCAGAAUAAGCACCGGCUAACUCUGUGCCAGCAGCCGCGGUAAUACAGAGGGUGCAAGCGUUAAUCGGAUUUACUGGGCGUAAAGCGCGCGUAGGCGGCUAAUUAAGUCAAAUGUGAAAUCCCCGAGCUUAACUUGGGAAUUGCAUUCGAUACUGGUUAGCUAGAGUGUGGGAGAGGAUGGUAGAAUUCCAGGUGUAGCGGUGAAAUGCGUAGAGAUCUGGAGGAAUACCGAUGGCGAAGGCAGCCAUCUGGCCUAACACUGACGCUGAGGUGCGAAAGCAUGGGGAGCAAACAGGAUUAGAUACCCUGGUAGUCCAUGCCGUAAACGAUGUCUACUAGCCGUUGGGGCCUUUGAGGCUUUAGUGGCGCAGCUAACGCGAUAAGUAGACCGCCUGGGGAGUACGGUCGCAAGACUAAAACUCAAAUGAAUUGACGGGGGCCCGCACAAGCGGUGGAGCAUGUGGUUUAAUUCGAUGCAACGCGAAGAACCUUACCUGGCCUUGACAUAGUAAGAACUUUCCAGAGAUGGAUUGGUGCCUUCGGGAACUUACAUACAGGUGCUGCAUG